GAUGAACGCUGGCGGCGUGCCUAAUACAUGCCAGUCGAGCGAACGGACGAGAAGCUUGCUUUUCUGAUGUUAGCGGCGGACGGGUGAGUAACACGUGGAUAACCUACCUAUAAGACUGGGAUAACUUCGGGAAACCGGAGCUAAUACCGGAUAAUAUUUUGAACCGCAUGGUUCAAAAGUGAAAGACGGUCUUGCUGUCACUUAUAGAUGGAUCCGCGCUGCAUUAGCUAGUUGGUAAGGUAACGGCUUACCAAGGCAACGAUGCAUAGCCGACCUGAGAGGGUGAUCGGCCACACUGGAACUGAGACACGGUCCAGACUCCUACGGGAGGCAGCAGUAGGGAAUCUUCCGCAAUGGGCGAAAGCCUGACGGAGCAACGCCGCGUGAGUGAUGAAGGUCUUCGGAUCGUAAAACUCUGUUAUUAGGGAAGAACAUAUGUGUAAGUAACUGUGAACAUCUUGACGGUACCUAAUCAGAAAGCCACGGCUAACUACGUG
Molecule: ribosomal RNA, 497 nt
Filed under: uncultured bacterium
Lineage: Bacteria
Description: partial 16S ribosomal RNA
Rfam family: Bacterial small subunit ribosomal RNA
Source: RNAcentral